AUGCCGCGUGCAGGAAGACUGCCCUAUGGGUUGUAAACUGCUUUUAUAUAGGAAGAAACCUACUUACGUGUAAGUAGCUGACGGUACUAUAAGAAUAAGGAUCGGCUAACUCCGUGCCAGCAGCCGCGGUAAUACGGAGGAUCCAAGCGUUAUCCGGAAUCAUUGGGUUUAAAGGGUCCGUAGGUGGAUAAUUAAGUCAGAGGUGAAAUCUUGCAGCUCAACUGUAAAAUUGCCUUUGAUACUGGUUAUCUUGAGUUAUUAUGAAGUAGUUAGGAUAUGUAGUGUAGCGGUGAAAUGCAUAGAUAUUACAUAGAAUACCAAUUGCGAAGGCAGAUUACUAAUAAUCAACUGACACUGAUGGACGAAAGCGUGGGUAGCGAACAGGAUUAGAUACCCUGGUAGUCCACGCCGUAAACGAUGGUUACUAGCUGUUUGGACCUUGUGUCUGAGUGGCUAAGCGAAAGUGAUAAGUAACCCACCUGGGGAGUACGUUCGCAAGAAUGAAACUCAAAGGAAUUGACGGGGGCCCGCACAAGCGGUGGAGCAUGUGGUUUAAUUCGAUGAUACGCGAGGAACCUUACCAGGGCUUAAAUGUAAGUUGCAUUAGUUAGAGAUAGCUAUUUCUUCGGACCACUUACAAGGUGCUGCAUGGUUGUCGUCAGCUCGUGCCGUGAGGUGUCAGGUUAAGUCCUAUAACGAGCGCAACCCCUGUUGUUAGUUGCCAGCGAGUCAUGUCGGGAACUCUAACAAGACUGCCGGCGCAAACCGUGAGGAAGGUGGGGAUGACGUCAAAUCAUCACGGCCCUUACGUCCUGGGCUACA
Molecule: ribosomal RNA, 822 nt
Filed under: uncultured Flavobacteriaceae bacterium
Lineage: Bacteria; Pseudomonadati; Bacteroidota; Flavobacteriia; Flavobacteriales; Flavobacteriaceae
Description: bacterial SSU rRNA
Rfam family: Bacterial small subunit ribosomal RNA
Source: RNAcentral